GACGAACGCUGGCGGCGUGCUCAACACAUGCAAGUCGAACGGAAAGGCCCUGCUUUUGUGGGGUGCUCGAGUGGCGAACGGGUGAGUAACACGUGAGUAACCUGCCCUUGACUUUGGGAUAACUUCAGGAAACUGGGGCUAAUACCGGAUAGGAGCUCCUGCUGCAUGGUGGGGGUUGGAAAGUUUCGGCGGUUGGGGAUGGACUCGCGGCUUAUCAGCUUGUUGGUGGGGUAGUGGCUUACCAAGGCUUUGACGGGUAGCCGGCCUGAGAGGGUGACCGGCCACAUUGGGACUGAGAUACGGCCCAGACUCCUACGGGAGGCAGCAGUGGGGAAUAUUGCACAAUGGGCGGAAGCCUGAUGCAGCAACGCCGCGUGCGGGAUGACGGCCUUCGGGUUGUAAACCGCUUUCGCCUGUGACGAAGCGUGAGUGACGGUAAUGGAUAAAGAAGCACCGGCUAACUACGUGCCAGCAGCCGCGGUGAUACGUAGGGUGCGAGCGUUGUCCGGAUUUAUUGGGCGUAAAGGGCUCGUAGGUGGUUGAUCGCGUCGGAAGUGUAAUCUUGGGGCUUAACCCUGAGCGUGCUUUCGAUACGGGUUGACUUGAGGAAGGUAGGGGAGAAUGGAAUUCCUGGUGGAGCGGUGGAAUGCGCAGAUAUCAGGGGGAACACCAGUGGCGAAGGCGGUUCUCUGGGCCUUUCCUGACGCUGAGGAGCGAAGGCGUGGGGAGCGAACAGGCUUAGAUACCCUGGUAGUCCACGCUGUAAACGGUGGGUACUAGGUGUGGGGUCCAUUCCACGGGUUCCGUGCCGUAGCUAACGCUUUAAGUACCCCGCCUGGGGAGUACGGCCGCAAGGCUAAAACUCAAAGGAAUUGACGGGGCCCCGCACAAGCGGCGGAGCAUGCGGAUUAAUUCGAUGCAACGCGUAGAACCUUACCUGGGUUUGACAUGGAUCGGGAGUGCUCAGAGAUGGGUGUGCCUCUUUUGGGGUCGGUUCACAGGUGGUGCAUGGCUGUCGUCAGCUCGUGUCGUGAGAUGUUGGGUUAAGUCCCGCAACGAGCGCAACCCUUGUUCACUGUUGCCAGCACGUUAUGGUGGGGACUCAGUGGAGACCGCCGGGGUCAACUCGGAGGAAGGUGGGGAUGACGUCAAGUCAUCAUGCCCCUUAUGUCCAGGGCUUCACGCAUGCUACAAUGGCUGGUACAGAGAGUGGCGAGCCUGUGAGGGUGAGCGAAUCUCGGAAAGCCGGUCUCAGUUCGGAUUGGGGUCUGCAACUCGACCUCAUGAAGUCGGAGUCGCUAGUAAUCGCAGAUCAGCAACGCUGCGGUGAAUACGUUCCCGGGGCU
RNAcentral lists this ribosomal RNA (1346 nucleotides) under uncultured bacterium. RNAcentral's name for it is "partial 16S ribosomal RNA". It matches the Rfam family "Bacterial small subunit ribosomal RNA", at positions 28 to 1381 of the family's 1533-position model. The record is from RNAcentral.